This 67-nucleotide ribosomal RNA is filed under the name Hetaerina caja. Its description in RNAcentral is "partial 16S ribosomal RNA". Lineage: Eukaryota; Metazoa; Arthropoda; Insecta; Odonata; Calopterygidae. The record is from RNAcentral.
AUUAAAAAUUAAUUUACUUUAAAAUUUCAAGGUUCCUUAAGAGAAUUUUCUUUAUCUUUAGUAGUUU